RNAcentral lists this long non-coding RNA (1278 nucleotides) under Fukomys damarensis (Damara mole-rat). Its description in RNAcentral is "lncRNA (ENSFDAG00000026892.1)". The record is from RNAcentral. Lineage: Eukaryota; Metazoa; Chordata; Mammalia; Rodentia; Bathyergidae.
UCCCCCGGGUGGUGGUGACGAGGCCGGGCACGCAGGCGGAGGGGAGUGGCCUCUGCCCCCCACGGGAACUCGAGGAAGGGGCGAGCAGGGGGCCCGGCUCUGCGGAGGGAAGAGGACUUGAGACCAGGGGCCCGGCCUCUGCUCAGGUUUGGCUCACAGCCUGCGACUGGCGCUGCCCGAAGGGACUGCCCUUCGGAUGCUUUGAAAACUUAAGAAGCCAAAGCAAUUUUUUAAAUGUCCCGCUCAAGACUUUAAAAACUGGAGGCGGAGAGUCUGAGGGGUCCAUAACCUGACACUUUGGUGAGAGACGUUCUGGGAGGAGCCCCCUGUGAGACUGUCAGAAAGUCCACACGGAAAAGCCCUCGCUGUGGAUGCUGAAGGUUACUUUAGUUCUACCUUUCUUUCUGCCUAAUCUUCAGGUGGACUCGGGCAGUUUUUGCCCCAGGCACAAAGUAGAUAAAAGUACAAAAACUUCCUGUUUGCUGCCCAGACCUUCUCCAGCUAUUAAGAACUUGUUCCAGUGAUGGAGCCUCAAAGGAAUUUGUGAAUUCCUCUCCCACAAGUGCAUAGGGGCAGAGGUGCUGGGAGAAUGAGGAAUUCACAGAGGACUUGAGCAUGACAGUCAUAAUAGAUGAACCAGUCUUAAGGGAAAAGAGAAAAGACUGAGUGAGCCAACGUACUGUUUUUCCUCCAAAUAGGAAGGUUUUGGUAAAGAAUUACACGCCACUGAAGAGUAAAUUACAUUUUUGUAACUUUCCAAAGACACAGACCUUCUCUAAACUUUUUGAGGGGUGUAUGCUGCCAGGUGCUAGACAUACAAACUUCAUUUGUACAAUCACAGUUGAAAGCCAGAUCUGUACUUGGUGUGUGAACACAGCCCAGGAGAAGACAAGAUUAAUAAAGUUCAGGUUGAGGAGAAAAGGUAUUCUAGUCCGACUGAGCAGAAAGAAUGUCUCUCAUGUCCCAAGAAAAGCAUGGUCUGUGUGUGAACAGGCGUCUCUAUUUGGCUGGAUCAAAGGGCACUUGCCGGAAGAGUUUGUGAGUGAAAAUAGAAGCAGCCGUUCCCCCAACCUUACCCUAUGUGACACUCUAGCAACAGCCAGCCAGUUAGGAUUUGGGAUUCGAUCUCUGCUACAUGUUAAAGGUUGACGAACACGAGUGGAGAAUUCACAUAUCUGUGAGGCUUUUGUCCCUAACUGGUGUUUCCACCCCCGGCUCAUCUACAGCACUACCCAGCGAUGUAAGUUUCCUGUGCCCUCCAAACUUAAUUUCCUCAAA